AAUAUUGGUCAAUGGAGGCAACUCUGAAGCAGCCAAGUCGCGUGAAUGAUGACUGCCCUACGGGUUGUAAACUUCUUUUUUAAGGCAAUAAAGUGAGCCACGUGUGGCUUUAUGCAUGUACCUUACGAAUAAGGAUCGGCUAACUCCGUGCCAGGAGCCGCCGUAGUACGGAGGAUCCGAGCGUUAUCCGGAUUUAUUGGUUUUCAAGGGUGCGCAGGCGGAAUAUUAAGUAGGCGGUGAAGGUUUGCAGCUUAACUGUAAAAUUGCCGUUGAAACUGGUUUUCUUGAGUGUAUAUGAAGUAGGCGGAAUUUGUAGGGUAGCGGUGGAAUGCAUAGUUAAUACAAGGAACUCCGAUUGCGAAGGAAGCUUACUAAAAUACAACUGACGCUCAGGCACGAAGGCGUGGGUAUCAAACA
Molecule: ribosomal RNA, 417 nt
Filed under: uncultured bacterium
Lineage: Bacteria
Description: partial 16S ribosomal RNA
Rfam family: Bacterial small subunit ribosomal RNA
Source: RNAcentral